Non-coding RNA from Chelonoidis abingdonii (Abingdon island giant tortoise), 114 nucleotides. The record is from RefSeq and is a predicted model, not a curated record. Lineage: Eukaryota; Metazoa; Chordata; Testudines; Testudinidae.
AGAUGCUUCAACCUGUGAAUGUUCUAAACAAAAAGAACUCUCAACCAUGCUUGUAGCUGUUUCCAUCACUUCAUGCUGAUUCAACAGACAUUCUAGACUUUAGAGGGAAACACA